Molecule: transfer RNA, 87 nt
Filed under: Gammaproteobacteria bacterium
Lineage: Bacteria; Pseudomonadati; Pseudomonadota; Gammaproteobacteria
Description: tRNA-Leu
Rfam family: tRNA
About the family: Transfer RNA (tRNA) molecules are approximately 80 nucleotides in length. Their secondary structure includes four short double-helical elements and three loops (D, anti-codon, and T loops).
Source: RNAcentral
GCCCGGGUGGCGGAACUGGUAGACGCAGCGGACUUAAAAUUCGCAGGCCGAAAGGCCGUGCCGGUUCGAUUCCGGCCCCGGGCACCA